CUUUCCGUAGGGUGAACCUGCGGAAGGAUCAUUACCGAGUUUUCGGGCGUUCGGCUCGACUCUCCCACCCUUUGUGAACGUACCUCUGUUGCUUUGGCGGCUCCGGCCGCCAAAGGACCUCCAAACUCCAGUCAGUAAACGCAGACGUCUGAUAAACAAGUUAAUAAACUAAAACUUUCAACAACGGAUCUCUUGGUUCUGGCAUCGAUGAAGAACGCAGCGAAAUGCGAUAAGUAAUGUGAAUUGCAGAAUUCAGUGAAUCAUCGAAUCUUUGAACGCACAUUGCGCCCCUUGGUAUUCCGGGGGGCAUGCCUGUUCGAGCGUCAUUACAACCCUCAAGCUCUGCUUGGAAUUGGGCACCGUCCUCACUGCGGACGCGCCUCAAAGACCUCGGCGGUGGCUGUUCAGCCCUCAAGCGUAGUAGAAUACACCUCGCUUUGGAGUGGUUGGCGUCGCCCGCCGGACGAACCUUCUGAACUUUUCUCAAGGUUGACCUCGGAUCAGGUAGGGAUACCCGCUGAACUUAAGCAUAUCAAUAAGCGGAGGAA
Molecule: ribosomal RNA, 548 nt
Filed under: Lasiodiplodia theobromae
Lineage: Eukaryota; Fungi; Ascomycota; Dothideomycetes; Botryosphaeriales; Botryosphaeriaceae
Description: eukaryotic LSU rRNA
Rfam family: 5.8S ribosomal RNA (bases 173-326)
Source: RNAcentral